This is a long non-coding RNA of Cheilinus undulatus (humphead wrasse), 1924 nucleotides long. RefSeq lists it as uncharacterized. The record is from RefSeq and is a predicted model, not a curated record. The transcript has 3 exons. NCBI's taxonomy places the organism in Eukaryota, Metazoa, Chordata, Actinopteri, Labriformes, Labridae.
UAAUCAUAUUUUUGUUUCAAAUACAGUGAAUUUAAAUGCAAAUAUUUGGCUUUCACAAACAUUAACAUUACUUGCAAAGUGUCUGUGGGUUCUGCAAAGAAGGUUAUGUGAUCGGCAGGGUUUGUUUGUUAGCAACAUAACUCAAAAAAAUUAUGGACGGAUUUUGAUGAAAUUUUCAGGAAAUGUCAAAAAUGGCAUAAGGAAGAACUGAUUAGAUUUUGGGAGUGAUCCGUAUCACCGUCUGGAUCCAGGAAUUUUUUAAAAGGAUUCUUUACUAUUGGGAGAUAGGGCUAAUGGUUUUUUGAGCAUAUCUUUUGACUGAAUGUCAGCCACUUGGGCAGUUUUCAUGGUGUCAAUCACUGAAAGAGGUAUAGUCAUUUUUGUUUAUGUUUUGAUGAUGGACCGCAAGGACUUGUUCAGGCCAAGGAUCAACACAGUGCAAAUUUCUUGGAAACUUUUCCUCCCCAAAUCUGCAAAAAUUCCCUACAUUUUCAAGAAAUUGCCUGAAAUUUCCAUGAAAAUUCAAAACCAAAUUUUUGAAGUAUCCCAUGGAAAGUAUUCCAAAAUGUUUUCAAUAUUCCUCAGAUGUGUAAGUGAUACUUUACCAUAAAGUCUAAACAUUCAAAUAAAACUCCAUGUAAAUUCCUGAAAAUUUUCAAGCAAAUACCCCAAAAUUUCAAAGCAAAUUCCCUGAGGUUUGCAAAAACAUUCCCCAGUAUGCAGUGAAAAUGAUGGAAAAUUCCUCAGUCUUUCAAAAAUAAAGAAAUAAUAUGAAAAAUCCUCAAAGUUUCCAUUAAAUUCUUGAACAUUUCAAAGACCUUUCCCAAAGUUCCAAGUCAAACCCUACAAAAAACAAAAAUACAUUUCCCAAUGUCCUCUAAAAAAUUAAGCAAAAAAAAAAUUCUAAUAAUAAAAUAACAAAUCCAAAAUUUCCAUCAAAAUGCCUGAAAUUUUUCAAAUUCCCUAAAAAAAUAAGAAUUUCUCAAUUUUCUAUGGAAAUGUAAAAAAUCAAGGCAAACUUCCAACAAGACUUUCCCUAACAUGCAAAGUGCCACCAAAAUUUCCAUGAAAAGUUCUGAAAAAAUCCCAGGUAAUUCUUCCGACAUUUCAAGCAAAUAAUAAUCUAAAGAACUCUAACAGCAGAGAUUAUUAUUAUGUUGCUGGGAGGCCAAAUGUAAUGUAUUAUAUGCAUGCAGGGUAUUAGGACGUCAAGAGAAACAGUUGAAAGAUGGAACAAAUCUGCAACAAAUCAUUGGGGAACCACUUCAAAACCGCAUUGCAUAUUAAAUUACAUCACCUGAUAUAUGUAUCAAAUAAAUAAUUAUACCCAGAAUCCUUUUCAAAAUGCUGUAGUUUUACAGUUCAAAGACCACAAGUGGGCGACAAUGCACGCUGAUCGGUUUCGUUUUAUCAACACAAAAAAGGGACGAAGAAGAAGCCGAGAUGAGGAAGUGUUGUAAUGAGUGGAAACAGUGAAAAUUCCGUUAUUCCACACUCAGGUCGGCGGAGAGCAAGGUUGUAUUAUCAUGUCGUCAAAAAUCAAAUCGGCCGUUCUCGGUCAUGCAGCUCCAACAACCGGGGAUGUAACUCACUACAUGUAACUAUUGCUAUCUGUAUUGCAACCAAUGCAUAAUAUCAGAGGUGUGUAACGGUUUUCUUUGAUGUGGACGAUGAAGGCAUGUCGCUCACGUGGAGCUGCUUCACUUUGAUGUGAAGGUCAAAAAUUAUCUGUUGUGUCCUCGAGGUUGUGGGAAGAGGAUACAUCACUGGAAAACUAGCCUGAACUGACCCAUCAUGGAGGAGCUGCCGUCCUGAGCCAUUUGGGCCUCCACGUGGUCGAGGGAUCUGUGAUGUAACAGGCUCAGGCUGCAGGGUCAGUCAUGCUGCUGAUGGCAUAUCAGAUCACUCCCAAAGUCUGAGGGAU